Phyllostomus discolor (pale spear-nosed bat) is the source of this 125-nucleotide long non-coding RNA. RefSeq lists it as uncharacterized. The transcript has 2 exons. NCBI's taxonomy places the organism in Eukaryota, Metazoa, Chordata, Mammalia, Chiroptera, Phyllostomidae. The record is from RefSeq and is a predicted model, not a curated record.
GCAGCCCACGCUCAAUCCACUGAGCUACGCCAGCCAGGAUGUAUAAACUUUUUAAUAAGCAGGCCUGUGUCUAUAGAAGAAAAAAACAGUCAGCUUCUUGUCAAGUUGAAAAGAAGACAAUCCAG